AUUCUGGCUCAGGACGAACGCUGGCGGCGUGCCUAACACAUGCAAGUCGAACGGAACUUCUUUAAAGGAUUUCUUCGGAAUGAAUUUGAUUAAGUUUAGUGGCGGACGGGUGAGUAACGCGUGAGUAACCUGCCUCUAAGAGGGGAAUAACAUUCUGAAAAGAAUGCUAAUACCGCAUAAUAUAUAUUUAUCGCAUGGUAGAUAUAUCAAAGAUUUAUCGCUUAGAGAUGGACUCGCGUCCGAUUAGUUAGUUGGUGAGGUAACGGCUCACCAAGACCGCGAUCGGUAGCCGGACUGAGAGGUUGAACGGCCACAUUGGGACUGAGACACGGCCCAGACUCCUACGGGAGGCAGCAGUGGGGGAUAUUGCGCAAUGGGGGAAACCCUGACGCAGCAACGCCGCGUGAAGGAUGAAGGUCUUCGGAUUGUAAACUUCUUUUAUUAAGGAUGAAGAAAGUGACGGUACUUAAUGAAUAAGCUCCGGCUAACUACGUGCCAGCAGCCGCGGUAAUACGUAGGGAGCAAGCGUUGUCCGGAUUUACUGGGUGUAAAGGGUGCGUAGGCGGCUUUGCAAGUCAGAUGUGAAAUCUAUGGGCUCAACCCAUAGCCUGCAUUUGAAACUGCAGAGCUUGAGUGAAGUAGAGGCAGGCGGAAUUCCCCGUGUAGCGGUGAAAUGCGUAGAGAUGGGGAGGAACACCAGUGGCGAAGGCGGCCUGCUGGGCUUUAACUGACGCUGAGGCACGAAAGCGUGGGUAGCAAACAGGAUUAGAUACCCUGGUAGUCCACGCUGUAAACGAUGAUUACUAGGUGUGGGGGGUCUGACCCCUUCCGUGCCGGAGUUAACACAAUAAGUAAUCCACCUGGGGAGUACGGCCGCAAGG
RNAcentral lists this ribosomal RNA (881 nucleotides) under uncultured Bacillota bacterium. RNAcentral describes it as "bacterial SSU rRNA". It matches the Rfam family "Bacterial small subunit ribosomal RNA", at positions 16 to 893 of the family's 1533-position model. Lineage: Bacteria; Bacillati; Bacillota. The record is from RNAcentral.